Molecule: long non-coding RNA, 1412 nt
Filed under: Nicotiana tabacum (common tobacco)
Lineage: Eukaryota; Viridiplantae; Streptophyta; Magnoliopsida; Solanales; Solanaceae
Description: long non-coding RNA (NTAB_LNC002245)
Source: RNAcentral
CCGCAUUUCUUCAACACUCUGUAUGAUCCAUACAGAGAGGGUGCAGAUUUCGUUCGUGGAUAUCCUUUCAGUAUGCGUGAAGGGGCUGCCACAGCUGUUUCUCAUGGGCUUUGGCUCAACAUCCCUGAUUAUGAUGCACCCACACAACUUGUUAAGCCUCGUGAAAGGAACACCAGGCAAGUUCACUUUCCAUAAGACAAAAGUUGUAGAGCUUAUCUAAUUAGUCAUAGACUCAUAGUUGUAGCGUCUGGCUGCUUGCCAGAAAUAAUUAGUGCAUCCAAAUUUUAUACUUCCUCUGUUCCAAUUUAGCUGUCAUGUUUAUUUUAAUAGUUGUUCCGAAAUACUUGUCUUUUUAUUAAAUUAAGAAAGAAUUAAUAUUUUCUCCCACCUUUACCCUUACUCUAAUAAAUGUUCGAGAGAGAUUAAUGUGGUGAAAGCAACGGUAAAAAUAAAUUGAGAUCAAAGAAUAAAUAAGGGAGUUUAGUCAAAUUAUCCUUUAAAUUAAUGUUUUUUUAAGGGGCAUGCAAAAGACAAAAUGUGACAAGUCAAAGGGAAUGAAGGGAUGUAGUAUUUGUAAAGCUUAUCUGUUUGGUCAUUACUCAGAGAUUUUUAUUUUUUUAUUUUUUUCAUUUUUGAAAUUAGUAUCAAUUUCUGUACUUGUCACUAGGUAUGUAGAUGCAGUUAUGACCAUUCCCAAAGGCACUUUAUUUCCCAUGUGUGGAAUGAAUUUGGCAUUCAACCGUGAGCUGAUUGGACCUGCAAUGUACUUUGGGCUCAUGGGUGAUGGUCAGCCAAUUGGUCGUUACGACGAUAUGUGGGCUGGCUGGUGUACCAAGGUAUUGAUAGCAUAUAUCUUUCUAUCAUUAUUUAUCUUCGUAAAGUAGAGCGCUUAUUCAUCUACGGUCCCUUGGAUGUCUCAUAGAGUUGUAAUGUUUGAAGUGGAAAUUACUAAAGUGUGUCAUUUUAAUGUCUAAUGGAUGAAGGAAUCUGACAUAGAAUCAUCAAAAUUGUAGGUGAUAUGUGACCAUUUGGGCCUAGGAAUCAAGACUGGUCUUCCCUACAUUUGGCAUAGCAAAGCAAGCAACCCUUUUGUCAACCUGAAAAAGGAGUACAAAGGCAUCUAUUGGCAAGAAGAGAUCAUCCCGUUUUUCCAAGCUGUAACCCUUCCUAAAGAGUGCACAACUGUCCAGCAGUGCUACAUCGAGCUCGCGAAACAGGUCAAGGAGAAACUUUCCAACAUAGAUCCCUAUUUCACAAAGCUAGCAGAAGCCAUGGCCACUUGGAUCGAAGCCUGGGAUGAGCUCAACCCUACUGGGGAAAACUUGGCUAAGCUAUCCAUCUCGAAUGACAAGGCAAAGUAGAUUGCAUUUAGCUUUUGGUGAGUAACUUACUUAUCUAUUUUACAUGUUUAA